Molecule: long non-coding RNA, 333 nt
Organism: Amphimedon queenslandica
Lineage: Eukaryota; Metazoa; Porifera; Demospongiae; Haplosclerida; Niphatidae
Exons: 3
Source: RefSeq, a predicted model, not a curated record
UUAAGUUAAGUAAUUGGUGGCCAUUGGUUUGUACAGCACUUCCUGUCUUAACUUAUGGCCUCACUUUAUGUUAACUGUCCAGUGUGAAUCAGCCUUAACACAACAAGCAAAACAACUGUAUAACAACAGUAAAGACACUAUGCUACACUAUUAAGAUACUCCUAACACAAGAAGCAAAGCAACUAUAUAACCGUAAAGGACACUACGCUACACUAUUAAGAUACUCCUAACUCAGCAAGCAAAACAACUGUAUAACAGUAAACUACUAUGCUACACUUUUAACUUUAUUUUAUUCUAUUUUCACAACUUAAGAUUAUUCUGCUCUUAAUAUUA